AUUGAACGCUGGCGGCAGGCCUAACACAUGCAAGUCGAACGAGUGGCGGACGGGUGAGUAAUGUCUGGGAAACUGCCUGAUGGAGGGGGAUAACUACUGGAAACGGUAGCUAAUACCGCAUACUAUCAGAUGUGCCCAGAUGGGUUUAGCUAGUUGGUGGGGUAAAGGCUAACCGAGGCGACGAUCCCUAGCUGGUCUGAGAGGAUGACCAGCCACACUGGAACUGAGACACGGUCCAGACUCCUACGGGAGGCAGCAGUGGGGAAUAUUGGACAAUGGGCGAAAGCCUGAGACAGCCAUGCCGCGGGUGUGAAGAGGGCCUUCGGGUUGUAAAGUACUUUCAGCGGGGAGGCGUUACCCACAGAAGAAGCACCGGCUAACUCCGUGCCAGCCGCCGCGGUAAUAC
Molecule: ribosomal RNA, 406 nt
Filed under: uncultured bacterium
Lineage: Bacteria
Description: partial 16S ribosomal RNA
Rfam family: Bacterial small subunit ribosomal RNA
Source: RNAcentral